RNAcentral lists this ribosomal RNA (253 nucleotides) under uncultured bacterium. RNAcentral's name for it is "partial 16S ribosomal RNA". It matches the Rfam family "Bacterial small subunit ribosomal RNA", at positions 524 to 776 of the family's 1533-position model. The record is from RNAcentral.
UACGAAGGGUGCUAGCGUUGUUCGGAAUUACUGGGCGUAAAGCGCGCGUAGGCGGUGAUGCAAGUCAGAGGUGAAAUCCCGGGGCUUAACCCUGGAACUGCCUUUGAAACUGCAUUGCUGGAGUGUGUGAGGGGAUAGCGGAAUUCCUAAUGUAGAGGUGAAAUUCGUAGAUAUUAGGAGGAACACCGGUGGCGAAGGCGGCUAUCUGGCACACAACUGACGCUGAGGCGCGAAAGCGUGGGGAUCAAACAGG